GACGAACCGUACGAACGUUAUUCGGAAUUACUGGGCUUAAAGGGUUUGUAGGCGGCCUUGUAAGUCGGGUGUGAAAUCCCUCGGCUCAACCGAGGAAUGGCGCCCGAUACUGCAAGGCUUGAGGGAGACAGGGGUAAGCGGAACUGAUGGUGGAGCGGUGAAAUGCGUUGAUAUCAUCAGGAACACCGGUGGCGAAAGCGGCUUACUGGGUCUCUUCUGACGCUGAGGAACGAAAGCUAGGGGAGCGAACGGG
This 253-nucleotide ribosomal RNA is filed under the name uncultured bacterium. Its description in RNAcentral is "partial 16S ribosomal RNA". It matches the Rfam family "Bacterial small subunit ribosomal RNA", at positions 524 to 776 of the family's 1533-position model. The record is from RNAcentral.